RNAcentral lists this transfer RNA (84 nucleotides) under Metarhizium rileyi. RNAcentral's name for it is "tRNA-His". It matches the Rfam family "tRNA". From Rfam's summary of the family: Transfer RNA (tRNA) molecules are approximately 80 nucleotides in length. Their secondary structure includes four short double-helical elements and three loops (D, anti-codon, and T loops). Further hydrogen bonds mediate the characteristic L-shaped molecular structure. tRNAs have two regions of fundamental functional importance: the anti-codon, which is responsible for specific mRNA codon recognition, and the 3' end, to which the tRNAs corresponding amino acid is attached (by aminoacyl-tRNA synthetases). tRNAs cope with the degeneracy of the genetic code in two manners: having more than one tRNA (with a specific anti-codon) for a particular amino acid; and 'wobble' base-pairing, i.e. permitting non-standard base-pairing at the 3rd anti-codon position. Lineage: Eukaryota; Fungi; Ascomycota; Sordariomycetes; Hypocreales; Clavicipitaceae. The record is from RNAcentral.
GCCAUAGUCGUCUAGGGGUAAGGACACCAGUUUGUGGUUAGAUAAUGAUCACUGGAAACCGAGGUUCGAGUCCUCGCUGUGGCA